Long non-coding RNA from Brienomyrus brachyistius, 1917 nucleotides. RefSeq lists it as uncharacterized. The transcript has 4 exons. Lineage: Eukaryota; Metazoa; Chordata; Actinopteri; Osteoglossiformes; Mormyridae. The record is from RefSeq and is a predicted model, not a curated record.
AAAUUGUUUUUAUAAUAGAAUAAUAGACUAAGUUUUCUUUUCAAAUUGCUGGAGUUAAAUGCAAAUUCCAAGGGGUGUACCCAUACAUAAAAUGCACGGUUCGAUACAAACUUCGGUUUUGGAUUCAUGGUUCGGUGAAAUUUCGGUACAGCAGGGAAAACAGAAUAUGUUUUUAAAUUAUUUAUUUUUAAUACUGAGACCACCAACUCAUUUAUAAGAUUAAAAUCUGUCGACGUGUCUGAUUAACAAAACCCAAGAGACUUUUAUUCGCACAUUGUAAAAAUAAAUAUGUAAAAUAAAUAAAAACAUCUAAAAUAAAACAUCAUAACUAUAAUGAAAAACUUCGGUUUUGGAUUCGUGGUUCGGUGCAAUUUCUUUACAGCAGGGAAAACACAAUCCAAUUGUCGCCUACUUCCGAGUAUGGCCGCAGUUACGUAGCGAUAAUUUUUAUGCCAGGUUAGAAUUUUCUGGCAGAGCUGCUUAAAUGCCAUACGGAGAAUAACUUGCGGAGGUUGUUUCUGCCUUUCUCUGGUCGCACAUACACUUGGAUGAUGUCGUCUCAAAUCAGUUAGCAUGUCGGAUAUGUUUCCAGCAACCGAGUUGGGUAUAACGGAGCCGGGAGACUGUCUUGGUCUCGCCGAUUAUACACUCUCCAGUGCUGGUGUACCGAAGUGAUGUACCGAACUCUACGUGACGAAUACGUGCACCGGCACUGCCUACACAUUCCUAAUCCCUGUUAAUACGGAAGCAUUAUCUGCAUUGCUUCGAAAUUUACAAUAAAUACCAGAUUGUCGAUCGUAUUCUGUUUCAAAGGUGAACACUAUGUAGUCAUUAAGUGCAGAUAAAGCGAUUUCAUUGUGUAAAUAUUGCACCGAGGAUGAUUCGGUGUCGUGCGAUAAGUCCUUAGGAUAGUAUGGCUGUAUCUGUGCUCUUUAGGUUAGCUCAUAUCCAGAAUUCAUUUGGUAAAUUCGAUUUCCCAACAAACUUUAUUAGUCAUUCGUUCUUACUGAAUUACAUUUGUAGAAUAAAAGGGAUGUCAUGCAUUAAAUAUCUGCUUAAAACAUAAACUAAAUAAUAUAAACUGAAUAUAUGAAUAAACAUCAAUCAUUCUUCACAGGAGGAGAUGGCUUCUUCGAAGUUGAGAAGUAGAAAACUUUCUCCAAAACAAGAGGCUGCAUAUUUUAUAUCUGCAUGUAAAGACAAAGAUGGACUUUAUGUGAAAUAUAUAAAUUCAUAUAAAGGCCGUGGGGUAUACAGCAGAUUCCAUUUUGAGAGGGGAGAUUUUCUUCUGGAAUACAGAGGGCAACUCAUCAGCAGGCAUGAAUGUGAAAGUAGACAGAAAAUAUAUCAUGAUGCCCUCAAAGUGUUCAUGUUUGAAUUUUAUUUCAAUGGAAAAUUGUUUUGCAUUGAUGCUGCCCGAGACGAUGGCUCCCUUGGGAGACUGGUGAAUGAUGACCAUGUUAGCCCAAACAGCAAAAUGAAAAAAAUCACCAUAUCAGGAAAGCCCCAUCUAUGUUUAUUCGCAACCAGAAGCAUUAGUCCUGGAGAAGAAAUUACAUAUAACUACGGUGACUCUGACUGGCCAUGGAGAUGCAAGGUGGCUACUGAAAAAGACCAACUGCACCCAAAAGAGCAGAGCACAUCAAGUGAGGUAGGGAGGACAGGGAAAGUAAUUCAGUUAAACUCUUGUAUGUGUGAUUAUUAGGUUUAAGUAGUUGGAGAUAUAGAUGUGUGUUGAAUGAGGAUAUGCAGAGAGAAUGCUGGUAAUUCUCUGUCCCUGCAAAAGGGAGAUCAGCGUGUGAAAGUGUGCUUGACAAAAGCAUUGUCUGUGAGGAUAUGGUGUUGAUGAGAACUGCAGAGAUUACUGGGAUUUUGUGUUUGAACAUUGUGUGAAACAAUGCUUAGAUAUUAGAAAUG